GGAGAGGUGGCCGAGUUGGCUGAAGGCAACCGCCUGCUAAGCGGUUGUAGGGGCUUAAACCUCUACCCAGGGUUCGAAUCCCUGCCUCUCCG
Molecule: transfer RNA, 92 nt
Filed under: bacterium
Lineage: Bacteria
Description: tRNA-Ser
Rfam family: tRNA
About the family: Transfer RNA (tRNA) molecules are approximately 80 nucleotides in length. Their secondary structure includes four short double-helical elements and three loops (D, anti-codon, and T loops). Further hydrogen bonds mediate the characteristic L-shaped molecular structure. tRNAs have two regions of fundamental functional importance: the anti-codon, which is responsible for specific mRNA codon recognition, and the 3' end, to which the tRNAs corresponding amino acid is attached (by aminoacyl-tRNA synthetases). tRNAs cope with the degeneracy of the genetic code in two manners: having more than one tRNA (with a specific anti-codon) for a particular amino acid; and 'wobble' base-pairing, i.e. permitting non-standard base-pairing at the 3rd anti-codon position.
Source: RNAcentral